GUCGAACGAGAAUCUACUGAAAGAGUUUUCGGACGAUGGAAGUAGAGGAAAGUGGCGGACGGGUGAGUAACGCGUGAGGAACCUGCCUUGAAGAGGGGGACAACAGUUGGAAACGGCUGCUAAUACCGCAUGAAGCAUAGGGGUCGCAUGAUUCUUAUGCCAAAGAUUUAUCGCUUCAAGAUGGCCUCGCGUCUGAUUAGCUAGUUGGCGGGGUAACGGCCCACCAAGGCGACGAUCAGUAGCCGGACUGAGAGGUUGAACGGCCACAUUGGGACUGAGAUACGGCCCAGACUCCUACGGGAGGCAGCAGUGGGGAAUAUUGGGCAAUGGGCGCAAGCCUGACCCAGCAACGCCGCGUGAAGGAAGAAGGCUUUCGGGUUGUAAACUUCUUUUAAGAGGGAAGAGCAGAAGACGGUACCUCUAGAAUAAGCCACGGCUAACUACGUGCCAGCAGCCGCGGUAAUACGUAGGUGGCAAGCGUUGUCCGGAUUUACUGGGUGUAAAGGGCGUGCAGCCGGGUCUGCAAGUCAGAUGUGAAAUCCAUGGGCUCAACCCAUGAACUGCAUUUGAAACUGUAGAUCUUGAGUGUCGGAGGGGCAAUCGGAAUUCCUAGUGUAGCGGUGAAAUGCGUAGAUAUUAGGAGGAACACCAGUGGCGAAGGCGGAUUGCUGGACGAUAACUGACGGUGAGGCGCGAAAGUGUGGGGAGCAAACAGGAUUAGAUACCCUGGUAGUCCACACUGUAAACGAUGAAUACUAGGUGUGCGGGGACUGACCCCCUGCGUGCCGCA
Molecule: ribosomal RNA, 790 nt
Filed under: uncultured bacterium
Lineage: Bacteria
Description: bacterial SSU rRNA
Rfam family: Bacterial small subunit ribosomal RNA
Source: RNAcentral